CGCAUCUGUGCAUGCAGCAUAUCAAUAAGCGGAGGAAAAGAAACUAACAAGGAUUCCCCUAGUAACGGCGAGUGAAGCGGGAAGAGCUCAAAUUUGAAAUCUUAAAGGGUUUCCCUUUACGAAUUGUAGUUUAAAGAAGUGUUUUCUGUUGAGGUUUUGGUAAAAGUUCCUUGGAAUAGGACAUCAUAGAGGGUGAGAAUCCCGUAUUUGACCUUUACUUUCAACUUUGUGAUACACUUUCAAAGAGUCGGAUUGUUUGGGAAUGCAGUCCAAAAUGGGUGGUAAAUUUCAUCUAAAGCUAAAUAUUGGCGAGAGACCGAUAGCGAACAAGUACCGUGAGGGAAAGAUGAAAAGAACUUUGAAAAGAGAGUUAAACAGUACGUGAAAUUGUCAAAAGGGAAGCGUUUGACACCAGUGUUGUUUUUCUGAAAAUCAAUUAAAGAACUGUUUAUGCUAAGUUGUUUAGACUUUAUCAGCUAUCUGUUUAGUUUUGAGCUUUUCUUUAAUGCACUUUUCAGUUAACAAGUCAACAUCAAUUUCUUUUGCUGUAAAAAAGCUUGAGGAAGGUGGCUUGAGAUUCGUCUUAAGUGUUCAUAGCCUCUUGCCUAUGCAGUCGGAGAGAUUGAGGUCUGCAACGUAGAUCCUUCGGGGCUAAAUGCAUUUGUGCUAAGUUAUAGCAUUUUAUAGACAACUUGUUGACUAUGAUUUGUCUUGUAGCUUACUCGCUUAUGUUAUAUUACCUACGCUUAGGAUGUUGAGUCGUAGAGCACGCA
RNAcentral lists this ribosomal RNA (773 nucleotides) under uncultured Neocallimastigales. RNAcentral's name for it is "partial large subunit ribosomal RNA". It matches the Rfam family "Eukaryotic large subunit ribosomal RNA", at positions 26 to 605 of the family's 3401-position model. Lineage: Eukaryota; Fungi; Neocallimastigomycota; Neocallimastigomycetes; Neocallimastigales. The record is from RNAcentral.